UGGAUGCCUUGGCAUAAAGAGGCGAUGAAAGACGUGGCACUCUGCGAUAAGCUACGGGGAGGUGAGAGCAACCUUUGAUCCGUAGAUCUCUGAAUGGGGCAACCCGGCGCUUUAGCGUCAUCGUUAACUGAAUACAUAGGUUAACGAAGCAAACCCGGCGAAGUGAAACAUCUCAGUAGCCGGAGGAAAGGACAUCAACCGAGACUCCGUUAGUAGUGGCGAGCGAACGCGGACCAGGCCAGUGCUCUUAUCAAUCGAACCGGAACCGUCUGGAAAGUCGGGCCGCAGUGGGUGACAGCCCCGUACGGGUAGGAAAGAUAAGAGACUCGAGUAGGGCGGGACACGUGAAAUCCUGUCUGAACAUGGGGGGACCACCCUCCAAGCCUAAAUACUCGUAUGUGACCGAUAGCGAACAAGUACCGUGAGGGAAAGGUGAAAAGCACCCCGACGAGGGGAGUGAAACAGUACCUGAAACCGAACGCCUACAAUCAGUUGGAGGGCCCAUGCGGCCUGACAGCGUACCUUUUGUAUAAUGGGUCAGCGACUU
Molecule: ribosomal RNA, 547 nt
Filed under: Heterosigma akashiwo
Lineage: Eukaryota; Raphidophyceae; Chattonellales; Chattonellaceae
Description: partial Bacterial large subunit ribosomal RNA
Rfam family: Bacterial large subunit ribosomal RNA
Source: RNAcentral